CCUACGGGAGGCUGCAGUGAGGAAUAUUGGUCAAUGGACGAGAGUCUGAACCAGCCAAGUAGCGUGAAGGAUGACUGCCCUAUGGGUUGUAAACUUCUUUUAUAUGGGAAUAAAACGUUCCACGUGUGGGAUUUUGUAUGUACCAUAUGAAUAAGGAUCGGCUAACUCCGUGCCAGCAGCCGCGGUAAUACGGAGGAUCCGAGCGUUAUCCGGAUUUAUUGGGUUUAAAGGGAGCGUAGGUGGAUUGUUAAGUCAGUUGUGAAAGUUUGCGGCUCAACCGUAAAAUUGCAGUUGAAACUGGCAGUCUUGAGUACAGUAGAGGUGUGCGGAAUUCGUGGUGUAGCGGUGAAAUGCUUAGAUAUCACGAAGAACUCCGAUUGCGAAGGCAGUUCACUGGACUGCAACUGACACUGAGGCUCGAAAGUGUGGGUAUCAAACAGGAUUAGAUACCCUGGUAGUC
This 460-nucleotide ribosomal RNA is filed under the name uncultured bacterium. Its description in RNAcentral is "partial 16S ribosomal RNA". It matches the Rfam family "Bacterial small subunit ribosomal RNA", at positions 338 to 795 of the family's 1533-position model. The record is from RNAcentral.